AAUCAACGCUGGCGGCGUGCCUCAGACAUGCAAGUCGAACGAUUAAAGCUUCCUUCGGGAAGUGUAUAGAGUGGCGUACGGGUGAGUAACACGUAAGUAAUCUACCCUUGGGUGGGGAAUAACUUAGGGAAACCUAAGCUAAUACCGCAUAAUGCAGCGGCUCCAUAUGGAGACAGUUGUUAAAGCAUUUAUGUGCCUAAGGAGGAGCUUGCGGCAGAUUAGCUAGUUGGUAAGGUAAUGGCUUACCAAGGCGACGAUCUGUAGCCGGUCUAAGAGGACGGUCGGUCACACUGACACUGAAUAACGGGUCAGACUCCUACGGGAGGCAGCAGUCGGGAAUUUUGGUCGAAUAGGGCGGAAAGACCUCGACCCACGCAACGACCGCCGUGAAGGAAGUGAAGUAAUUUCGGUUAGUGUAAACUUACGUAAGUAAUGGGAAGGAAUAAAUAGACGGUACC
RNAcentral lists this ribosomal RNA (458 nucleotides) under uncultured bacterium. RNAcentral's name for it is "bacterial SSU rRNA". It matches the Rfam family "Bacterial small subunit ribosomal RNA", at positions 32 to 479 of the family's 1533-position model. The record is from RNAcentral.